Molecule: long non-coding RNA, 407 nt
Organism: Alligator sinensis (Chinese alligator)
Lineage: Eukaryota; Metazoa; Chordata; Crocodylia; Alligatoridae
Exons: 3
Source: RefSeq, a predicted model, not a curated record
GCCCCGGAAUCAGACUCACCAGUUGCUCAAGCUUCUUUGUUGGUUCCCAUUCUCACCUGGACCUCAUCUGUGCACAGUUGGACAGUCCCCAGUACUGACUUAAGACACAGCUGUCCCAGCCGCCUGCGGAAGGUUCGGGAUUGAGAGUAUGGUCGGAGGUAGAAAGAUGUGACCCCUGGGGUUGACAGCUGCUAUCCAGUAGCCACCAAGGGGGACGUUCCACAAGGGCUGGCCGAAAACUGGGGAGUCACCAAAGUCUGCCAAGGACAGAUAAAAGGCAGCAAAGAGUGAGCCUCAGGGGCACUCUCUUGAUCUUCAACUUGACCACCACCCGAUCUGUCCAGCCAGAAGGACCAGGCAGCAACCCCCUUCUGGAAGAUAACACUACGUUGGAAGAAGCCUCAACC